GACGAACGCUGGCGGCGUGCCUAAUACAUGCAAGUCGAGCGGGCCUCCGGAGGUGCUUGCACCUCCGGAAGGCCAGCGGCGGACGGGUGAGUAACACGUGGGCAACCUGCCUUUGAGGCCGGGAUAACACCGGGAAACCGGUGCUAAUACCGGAUACGUCCUCUUUCGCGCCUGCGAGAGGGGAGAAAGACGGUCUUUAAGGCUGUCGCUCAAAGAGGGGCCGGCGGCGCAUUAGCUGGUUGGUGGGGUAAGGGCCUACCAAGGCGACGAUGCGUUGCCGACCUGAGAGGGUGAUCGGCCACACUGGGACUGAGACACGGCCCAGACUCCUGCGGGAGGCAGCAGUAGGGAAUCAUCCGCAAUGGGCGAAAGCCUGACGGUGCAACGCCGCGUGAGUGAGGAAGGUUUUCGGAUCGUAAAGCUCUGUUGUGAGGGAAGAACAGCUUCCGGAGGAAAUGCCGGAGGUUUGCCGGUACCUCACCAGAAAGCCCCGGCUAACUACGUGCCAGCAGCCGCCGUAA
RNAcentral lists this ribosomal RNA (521 nucleotides) under uncultured bacterium. RNAcentral's name for it is "partial 16S ribosomal RNA". It matches the Rfam family "Bacterial small subunit ribosomal RNA", at positions 28 to 523 of the family's 1533-position model. The record is from RNAcentral.